Non-coding RNA from Brachypodium distachyon (stiff brome), 125 nucleotides. NCBI's taxonomy places the organism in Eukaryota, Viridiplantae, Streptophyta, Magnoliopsida, Poales, Poaceae. The record is from Rfam.
GAACUACUCCCUCCGAUACUAAAUUGUUGUUAAAAUAUUACAUGUAUCUAGACACCUUUUAAGAAUAGAUACAUCCAUAUUUGGGCAAAUUUGAGACAAGAAUUUAGGAUCGGAGGGAGUACUAU